This 447-nucleotide ribosomal RNA is filed under the name uncultured bacterium. RNAcentral describes it as "partial 16S ribosomal RNA". It matches the Rfam family "Bacterial small subunit ribosomal RNA", at positions 328 to 792 of the family's 1533-position model. The record is from RNAcentral.
GUCCCAGACUCCUACGGGAGGCAGCAGUGGGGAAUAUUGCACAAUGGGGGAAACCCUGAUGCAGCAACGCCGCGUGAGUGAAGAAGUAUUUCGGUAUGUAAAGCUCUAUCAGCAGGGAAGAAGAUGACGGUACCUGACUAAGAAGCCCCGGCUAACUACGUGCCAGCAGCCGCGGUAAUACGUAGGGGGCAAGCGUUAUCCGGAUUUACUGGGUGUAAAGGGAGCGUAGACGGCGGUGCAAGCCAGAUGUGAAAGCCCGGGGCUCAACCCCGGGACUGCAUUUGGAACUGUGCUGCUAGAGUGUCGGAGAGGCAGGCGGAAUUCCUAGUGUAGCGGUGAAAUGCGUAGAUAUUAGGAGGAACACCAGUGGCGAAGGCGGCCUGCUGGACGAUGACUGACGUUGAGGCUCGAAAGCGUGGGGAGCAAACAGGAUUAGAUACCCGAGUA